AGAGUUUGAUCCUGGCUCAGAUUGAACGCUGGCGGCAUGCCUUACACAUGCAAGUCGAACGGCAGCACGGGAGCUUGCUCCUGGUGGCGAGUGGCGAACGGGUGAGUAAUACAUCGGAACGUACCCUGAAGUGGGGGAUAACGUAGCGAAAGUUACGCUAAUACCGCAUAUUCUGUGAGCAGGAAAGAGGGGGAUCGCAAGACCUCUUGCUUUAGGAGCGGCCGAUGUCGGAUUAGUUAGUUGGUGAGGUAAAGGCUCACCAAGGCGACGAUCCGUAGCGGGUCUGAGAGGAUGAUCCGCCACACUGGGACUGAGACACGGCCCAGACUCCUACGGGAGGCAGCAGUGGGGAAUUUUGGACAAUGGGCGCAAGCCUGAUCCAGCCAUGCCGCGUGAGUGAAGAAGGCCUUCGGGUUGUAAAGCUCUUUCGGUGGGGAAGAAAUUGCUUCGGUUAAUACCUGGAGUAGAUGACGGUACCCGCAUAAGAAGCACCGGCUAACUACGUG
Molecule: ribosomal RNA, 506 nt
Filed under: uncultured bacterium
Lineage: Bacteria
Description: bacterial SSU rRNA
Rfam family: Bacterial small subunit ribosomal RNA
Source: RNAcentral